Molecule: non-coding RNA, 79 nt
Organism: Myotis brandtii (Brandt's bat)
Lineage: Eukaryota; Metazoa; Chordata; Mammalia; Chiroptera; Vespertilionidae
Source: Rfam
AGGCCGGGAGAGAGGCAGGGGCUGAUCUGUAGCUUCCAUGGCAGCUGUUGAUCAGCCGCUGCCUCUCUCUUCCUCUCUC